This 502-nucleotide ribosomal RNA is filed under the name uncultured Acaulospora. Its description in RNAcentral is "SSU rRNA". It matches the Rfam family "Eukaryotic small subunit ribosomal RNA", at positions 591 to 1092 of the family's 1831-position model. The record is from RNAcentral. Lineage: Eukaryota; Fungi; Glomeromycota; Glomeromycetes; Diversisporales; Acaulosporaceae.
CCAAUAGCGUAUAUUAAAGUUGUUGCAGUUAAAAAGCUCGUAGUUGAAUUUCGGAAUCUGUCCGUUGGUCGGGCUUAAUUGUCCGUACUGAUGUGAUGGGUUCUUACCUUCUGAAUAACCAGCAUGCCAUUAAUUUGGUGUGUUGGGGAAGCAGGACUAUUACCUUGAAAAAAUUAGAGUGCUCAAAGCAGGCUAGCGCCUGAAUACAUUAGCAUGGAAUAAUAAAAUAGGACGGCAUGGUUCUAUUUUGUUGGUUUCUAGGAUCACCGUAAUGAUUAAUAGGGAUAGUUGGGGGCAUUAGUAUUCAAUUGUCAGAGGUGAAAUUCUUGGAUUUAUUGAAGACUAACUUCUGCGAAAGCAUUUGCCAAGGAUGUUUUCAUUAAUCAAGAACGAAAGUUAGGGGAUCGAAGACGAUCAGAUACCGUCGUAGUCUUAACCAUAAACUAUGCCGACUAGGGAUCGGAUGAUGUUAAUUUUAUAAUGACUCAUUCGGCGCCUUACG